Gallus gallus (chicken) is the source of this 1425-nucleotide long non-coding RNA. The record is from Ensembl. Lineage: Eukaryota; Metazoa; Chordata; Aves; Galliformes; Phasianidae.
CUUGAUUUAUCUCAGGUUUGCUCUUCCUUUGUGUACUUAUUGCUCUUGAUGCAGCCUAUCAAGCCAUGCAACCCCCUAUGAUAGCUCUGUAGAGAUAUAUUUAAUUUGAUUUGCUGCUGUCCCCAGGAGUUUAUUCUCUGUCAAACAGCUGCCUGUUGCAGUGAAACUUCAAUAUAGGAGAGCAUAAUGGUUUACGGAUAGAGCAUUUAACAACCACCACUGAAUGGCAUAUGUCUGAUAAAUAUGUUCAGAAAAUAGUUGUGGAAUAUGCAAAGGCCACUGUUCUGGAACGCUUACAAGGAUACAGCUAAAAAUGCAACACAGCACAGAGUUAUCUGACAAACUUAUUCAUGAGUUUACAAACCCCUCUGAAGUUUGGAUGCUUUCGUGCUGUACAUUUUAGUCCACUACUUCUAAUCAGGUUCUUACUGUAAGGAUAAGGAAUAAGGAAGCUGAAAAAAACAGACCGUGCCCAUACUCCAUCACUGCCAGCACAGCCGCUUGGAGCUGCCCCGACGCUGAUCUACUGACGCUGGCUUUGUGCCAGAGUACAUCCCUCUGUAGGUUCAUCGUUUUGACAAGCAGGGACUCUCAUUAAGCAAGGCUGGGAAAACGGAGACUGGAGAAGCUUGGUUUGCACCAUCUGCACCAGACUUGCUGGGACUUGCUCUGUGCAGACAGUCUCUGUGCACUGGGACGGAGGGACGAAGCAGAGCAGCCCAUGCUGCCCAGUGCUUAUGUGGUCGCUCCAGCUGAGCAAUGCGGUCUCAGAACACAAUUCAUCCUCGUUCAAGUGGCACUCAGGUUCAGUUCUUCAGAACUACUAUAAACACAGAAUCACUGUGUGAGCACUUCAUCCAGCAUAGAGGAGCUUCCAUUGCAUGGACAGAUGCUGUUUGAAGGAACGCUGAGAUUCUGGAGUGAAAGCUGCUAUAUAACUUCAAAACAUGGUUGAACAAGAAGUGGAGCAGCCUAAUGAAGCAUGGAUUCAGCUACUAAAGCUGGAGACUUUAUAAAUGUAAAGAAUUUUUUAUCAGGUAUUCAAAAUCUAGGUGACCCAUCAGGCCCUUGGUAGAUUGCUCCUGAAGUGACAAUACUCCAGUGCUUCCUCCAAGUGGAUGCCCAACAAGCAGGACAACAGUACAAGCAGCAGAACCUGAGGUGUUCGUCUGCAGCACAGUGUUUACUAAGAAUACUGAUUUAUUUCUUUUUCUUCACCUUCUAUUCCAGAUGGGAAGUUUACCUAGCCAGCUUAGUUUGUCUUUGCAGGUAUUUCUCACAUUACAUUCUUUUGAUGGCUGCAGAUUGUAGUGCAAUUAUAGUUUACAUUGUAUGAAAUUACUACUAUACUUUAUAAUCUUUUCAUUUCUAUAUUUAUUCUCAUGGCUGCAAACAAUAAUAAAGACUGGCUUUCUUUUCUUGGAG